ACCAAUCUUGUGUUCUAAGUUGGUAUCAGACACGAUCCAACCCACACUUCCAAAAAAACUCACGUUCAUAUUCAAAGCACCAAAACCACAAAAAAAAAAAAAAAAGGCAUUCCCGAUUGCACAACCAUCUUCUGGUUGGUUUCACUACCAUUAAGAACUCAUGCAUUCCCGAUUGCACAACAAUUCCGCAAAGCUUGCAAAUUUCCACUUAACAGGAAAACAUCAAGUAUUUCAACAAAAAAGGUUCUACCAAAGCACCACCGAGACCCAAAUUUUGGUUAUGAAAGAAGAAUGAAAAAGAAAAACUUUCUGCAGUUUCAAGCUCCAAACUGCAUAUGCCGUGAUGCACAGGAACCAAAAUAUCUCUUCCGCGUAUUUUCUCUUAUAGCCAGACCAUUUAAGCAGAGAAUGUGGAAGCCAUAUACAAGUUCACCACUGCUAAACAACUCCACGGAAUUAGUAACACAUCCCUAACAGCCAACUGCUCUUAGGCUUGGUGUUGGAUGGCUAAUGGCUCCUGCAAAGAUUAAGGGCGAGUGUUAAAAGCACACUGCGUCAUCACUGACACGCACGAUGAUGUCACAAGAGUCACGAAGAACACGUGAAGGCGAGUGCGAUGAUAUUCCAGUAAUGCGAUAUAAUCGCUCUAAUAGAUCCAAAAAAAUGGGCUUUAUUAGCUGUAACCCACUAUCUGAAUUAGCUGUCAUCCACUAUGUAACCCAUUUAUAAAGAGAAAUUAUCCAGGAGAGAGUGGCAGGGUCUGUAUUCUUGAGUGUUCUAAGAGGGAGAAAGUAAUUUGCUGUCCAAGUUAGGGUUCACUUGUAUUUGUAUUUGUGAUAAUUCUUCCAAUUAAUAAGAAUAAUACUUUGAGUUUUCAUCA
Long non-coding RNA from Papaver somniferum (opium poppy), 880 nucleotides. RefSeq lists it as uncharacterized. The transcript has 2 exons. Lineage: Eukaryota; Viridiplantae; Streptophyta; Magnoliopsida; Ranunculales; Papaveraceae. The record is from RefSeq and is a predicted model, not a curated record.